Molecule: ribosomal RNA, 198 nt
Filed under: uncultured bacterium
Lineage: Bacteria
Description: partial 16S ribosomal RNA
Rfam family: Bacterial small subunit ribosomal RNA
Source: RNAcentral
ACUCCUACGGGAGGCAGCAGUGGGGAAUUUUCCGCAAUGGGCGCAAGCCUGACGACGCAACGCCGCGUGGGGGAUGAAGGUCUUCGGAUUGUAAACCCCUGUCGAACGGGACGAAUGGCCCCUGAGUUAAUACCUUGGGGGAUUGACGGUACCGUUAAAGGAAGCCACGGCUAACUCUGUGCCAGCAGCCGCGGUAAU